GCGUGCGGAGAGCAUCUUGGUGUGUAAACUGCUUUUGUACGGGAAGAAACACUCCCUCGUGAGGGAGCUUGACGGUACCGUAAGAAUAAGGAUCGGCUAACUCCGUGCCAGCAGCCGCGGUAAUACGGAGGAUCCAAGCGUUAUCCGGAAUCAUUGGGUUUAAAGGGUCCGUAGGCGGCCUUGUAAGUCAGUGGUGAAAUCUCCCGGCUCAACCGGGAAACUGCCAUUGAUACUGCAGGGCUUGAAUAAUUAGGAAGUAACUAGAAUAUGUAGUGUAGCGGUGAAAUGCUUAGAUAUUACAUGGAAUACCAAUUGCGAAGGCAGGUUACUACUAAUUUAUUGACGCUGAUGGACGAAAGCGUGGGGAGCGAACAGGAUUAGAUACCCUGGUAGUCCACGCCGUAAACGAUGGAUACUAGCUGUUGGGAGCAAUUUCAGUGGCUAAGCGAAAGUGAUAAGUAUCCCACCUGGGGAGUACGAACGCAAGUUUGAAACUCGGGGGGGAUUGACGGAAAACCGGAGGGUUUUUUUGAAUUUCUG
This 540-nucleotide ribosomal RNA is filed under the name Bacteroidota bacterium. RNAcentral describes it as "bacterial SSU rRNA". It matches the Rfam family "Bacterial small subunit ribosomal RNA", at positions 399 to 952 of the family's 1533-position model. The record is from RNAcentral. Lineage: Bacteria; Pseudomonadati; Bacteroidota.